AUACGUAGGUGGCAAGCGUCGUCCGGAUUUACUGGGCGUAAAGGGAGCGUAGGUGGAUAUUUAAGUGGGAUGUGAAAUACUCGGGCUCAACCUGGGUGCUGCAUUCCAAACUGGAUAUCUAGAGUGCAGGAGAGGAAAGGAGAAUUCCUAGUGUAGCGGUGAAAUGCGUAGAGAUUAGGAAGAAUACCAGUGGCGAAGGCGCCUUUCUGGACUGUAACUGACACUGAGGCACGAAAGCGUGGGGAGCAAACAGGAUUAGAUACCCUGGUAGUCCACGCCGUAAACGAUGAGUACUAGGUGUCGGGGGUUACCCCCCUCGGUGCCGCAGCUAACGCAUUAAGUAUCCCGCCUGGGGAGUACGGUCGCAAGAUUAAA
RNAcentral lists this ribosomal RNA (375 nucleotides) under uncultured bacterium. Its description in RNAcentral is "bacterial SSU rRNA". It matches the Rfam family "Bacterial small subunit ribosomal RNA", at positions 523 to 898 of the family's 1533-position model. The record is from RNAcentral.